GAUGAACGCUGGCGGCGUGCUUAACACAUGCAAGUCGAGCGAAGCACUUAAGUUUGAUUCUUCGGAUGAGGACUUCUGUGACUGAGCGGCGGACGGGUGAGUAACGCGUGGGUAACCUGCCUCAUACAGGGGGAUAACAGUUAGAAAUGGCUGCUAAUACCGCAUAAGACCACAGUACUGCAUGGUACAGUGGUAAAAACUCCGGUGGUAUGAGAUGGACCCGCGUCUGAUUAGGUAGUUGGUGAGGUAACGGCCCACCAAGCCGACGAUAAGUAGCCGACCUGAGAGGGUGACCGGCCACAUUGGGACUGAGACACGGCCCAGACUCCUACGGGAGGCAGCAGUGGGGAAUAUUGCACAAUGGGCGAAAGCCUGAUGCAACGACGCCGCGUGAAGGAUGAAGUAUUUCGGUAUGUAAACUUCUAUCAGCAGGGAAGAAAAUGACGGUACCUGACUAAGAAGCCCCGGCUAACUACGUGCCAGCCGCCGCCGUAA
Molecule: ribosomal RNA, 495 nt
Filed under: uncultured bacterium
Lineage: Bacteria
Description: partial 16S ribosomal RNA
Rfam family: Bacterial small subunit ribosomal RNA
Source: RNAcentral